Molecule: long non-coding RNA, 1044 nt
Filed under: Homo sapiens (human)
Lineage: Eukaryota; Metazoa; Chordata; Mammalia; Primates; Hominidae
Description: HSALNT0339562
Source: RNAcentral
CUCCGUUGUGCCAAUCCUUGGAGAAUCUCUAUCUCCUCUGGUGCUGUUUCCUGAUACUGUUACAAUCUGGAUCUCUCUCCUUUACAUCCCAUUUUUUUUUUUUUGGUAAAUGAUGACUCUUCCCAUUUUGUAUUGUUCUUAAUAAAUUUCCCUACCUCCUUCUAGAUAAUUUAGAUAAUUAUGAGUGUACUGGGGCAAUCACAAAGUGAAAGAUUUUGAAAUUCUUAGCCUUUAUCAACUGUUCUAUCAUUCCCAUUCUUUUCUGUGAUAUGUGACUUUCAAUUUUACAUUUACUUUGAGAGUUUGUGAAUAUGAAAUCAAAAAGGCAUUAUCAUUAUUAUAAGUACAGACACUACUUAUUUGAGAAUAUGUGAUUUCCUAAUUUAUACCGGUCAUGACGCCUAAGUUUAAAGUUACUAUUGAUACAUGAUUGUUUCAUAUUACACACACACGCACACACAUAUACAUAUUAAAACCUGAGAGUUGGAGAGAACAAUCAGCUGAGCUAAAACAAGUAGGAACUUUGAGGAGAGACAAUGAAAGUUUCCUUGAAGUAUAAAUAAGAUUCUUAGAGUCAGUAGUAAGUAAAAUUUUUCAGAAUGGUUUGCUUUUUCUGUAAGAAAGUACGCCAAACAACUUAGUUUAUUUUAAAAGGGAAAAAUGCACACCCACAUACUUCAUCAUUGCUCGUCACGUUUCUGCAUCCUUCCAUGCCUGGCUUUCUGGACCCAUCUGGACAGAUGGCGGUAAUGUUAAAAUAGAUGCCUUGUACCUGGUUUUCCACCUGAACUUUCACUUCUGAAAUGAGCUUCUGCAGAGACAUUAUUUUUAAAUUACAUACGAGAGUAGUUUCAAAUGUCAGCAACAAAGCAGAGUCAAGCUUAUUAAAUCAUUAUAGAUUUAAUUUUAACUAGAUCAAAGAGUCUGUUUCUAUAAAAGGAUGAAUAAAAACAGUGUUUCCACAUAAUGACCCAAUUAUAUUUGAAAUACAUAAGAAAUACUGAAGGAUUAGAUUAUCUGCAUUCAAAUUGUUCUAUUUUUUUU